Molecule: ribosomal RNA, 253 nt
Filed under: uncultured bacterium
Lineage: Bacteria
Description: partial 16S ribosomal RNA
Rfam family: Bacterial small subunit ribosomal RNA
Source: RNAcentral
UACGUAGGGUGCAAGCGUUAAUCGGAAUUACUGGGCGUAAAGCGUGCGCAGGCGGUUCGUUGUGUCGGCGGGGAAAGCCCCGGGCUCAACCUGGGAAUGGCCGUUGAAACUGGCGAACUGGAGUGUGGCAGAGGGGGGUGGAAUUCCGCGUGUAGCAGUGAAAUGCGUAGAGAUGCGGAGGAACACCGAUGGCGAAGGCAGCCCCCUGGGCUGACACUGACGCUCAGGCACGAAAGCGUGGGGAGCAAACAGG